CCUACGGGUGGCAGCAGUGGGGAAUAUUGGACAAUGGGGGGAACCCUGAUCCAGCGACGCCGCGUGAGUGAAGAAGGAUGUCGGUAUGUAAAGCUCUAUCAGCAGGGAAGAAAGAAAUGACGGUACCUGACUAAGAAGCACCGGCUAACUACGUGCCAGCAGCCGCGGUAAUACGUAGGGGGCAAGCGUUAGCCGGAUUGACUGGGUGUAAAGGGAGCGUAGACGGCGAUGCAAGUCUGAAGUGAAAGGCGGGGGCCCCACCUCCGGACGGCUUUGGAAACUGUAUGGCUGGAGUGCAGGACAGGUAAGUGGACUUCCUAUUGUAGCGGUGAUAUGCGUCGAUAUUCG
RNAcentral lists this ribosomal RNA (348 nucleotides) under uncultured bacterium. RNAcentral's name for it is "partial 16S ribosomal RNA". It matches the Rfam family "Bacterial small subunit ribosomal RNA", at positions 338 to 700 of the family's 1533-position model. The record is from RNAcentral.